Molecule: long non-coding RNA, 596 nt
Organism: Xenopus tropicalis (tropical clawed frog)
Lineage: Eukaryota; Metazoa; Chordata; Amphibia; Anura; Pipidae
Exons: 3
Source: RefSeq, a predicted model, not a curated record
UUGCUGGUUUGUACAAACCAUGAAAUUCCAUUUUGGCCAUCAGGGACAGAAUUGCGGAAAGAAGUGUUCUGUUGGUUGCAUCCCCAUAGAGAAAGCAUGGCUGUAGUCUGAAACUGGCCAGAAUGAAUUCUAAGCAGCACCAGCUUGUGGUCCUGCAUAAAAUAUGCUCUGAAAUAUCCUGGCAACAGAAUACAUAACAUAACAACAGAUCAAGGAGAAAUGUACAUUAAAGGCCACAGAAGUCGGAUGAGAAACUAGAACUGGUGUCUCUUGGCAGGACAGAAGAGGUGGGGAUUUCCAAACUGUUCAAACCACCAUGCAUCAAAUGUAGCCCCUUCCAGAGGCAGCUUUUAUACUAUGCAUCAACAGUCAACAGCUUAGGCAAACACUAACAGCAGCAACCUCUGCAUGACAAGAAGUGAUCACACUCCAUUGACCUGCUCUGGGCCAACACCGCGGACACUGAAAAUAGCUAAUAAAAAAGCUACAAAUAUGCCAGGAAACUGCUUUAUCAGAGCUCACCAUUAUCUUUAUAUUUUAAGACAAAUAAUGAAAACUUUAUCACAUACAUAUACAAAUACAGUACACUUACAAGA